Molecule: ribosomal RNA, 568 nt
Filed under: Rhizopus arrhizus
Lineage: Eukaryota; Fungi; Mucoromycota; Mucoromycetes; Mucorales; Rhizopodaceae
Description: Rhizopus oryzae partial 18S ribosomal RNA
Rfam family: 5.8S ribosomal RNA (bases 181-334)
Source: RNAcentral
UUACCUUAGGGUUUCCUCUGGGGUAAGUGAUUGCUUCUACACUGGUGAAAAUUUGGCUGAGAGACUCAGACUGGGUCAUGGGUAGACCUAUCUGGGGUUUGAUCGAUGCCACUCCUAGGUUUCAGGAGCACCCUUCAUAAUAAACCUAGAAAUUCAGUAUUAUAAAGUUUAAUAAAAAACAACUUUUAACAAUGGAUCUCUUGGUUCUCGCAUCGAUGAAGAACGUAGCAAAGUGCGAUAACUAGUGUGAAUUGCAUAUUCAGUGAAUCAUCGAGUCUUUGAACGCAGCUUGCACUCUAUGGUUUUUCUAUAGAGUACGCCUGCUUCAGUAUCAUCACAAACCCACACAUAACAUUUGUUUAUGUGGUAAUGGGUCGCAUCGCUGUUUUAUUACAGUGAGCACCUAAAAAUGUGUGUGAUUUUCUGUCUGGCUUGCUAGGCAGGAAUAUUACGCUGGUCUCAGGAUCUUUUUCUUUGGUUCGCCCAGGAAGUAAAGGUACAAGAGUAUAAUCCAGCAACUUUCAAACUAUGAUCUGAAGUCAGGUGGGAUUACCCGCUGAACUUAAGC